Molecule: non-coding RNA, 780 nt
Organism: Peromyscus maniculatus bairdii (prairie deer mouse)
Lineage: Eukaryota; Metazoa; Chordata; Mammalia; Rodentia; Cricetidae
Source: RefSeq, a predicted model, not a curated record
GUCAGGAGCCCCAUUGCCUCUCUUUACCCUGCACGUUGUACUUGAAUCCAGUGACGCAAUGAGAGCACGUUGAGUUUCUGAUACAGAACAUUUCUGUGGUCACAGUGAAGGUAGCACUUGAAGAUAUGGAGCAGGAGACUACUGGUCGAGGUGUGGUGCAUUGUGGAUGAUGCAUUGAAGGAAAUCUUGUUCAUACUACUGGCUUUUGGGCUAAAACAUCUACUCCCCAAUUGCUGCAGCUCUUGGAUGACUUAUGGACUUGCCCUUGGCUGAGGAGUGUUGUCUUGGACAGGUCAUUCUCCCUCCAUGGUGGUGACUCUCUUCACCAAAGCCUGGUCCAUGUAAGAGUACAAAGGCUGUUUCUUUCCAAUAUUGGAUGACACUUUAGGGCCAUCCUUGAUUACAGUUUCUUAUGGGAUUAGCUGAGGUCUCUCUUGAGACCACUUAAACAUUCAUCCUCUUCUGCCUUCUACAAAUACUAACACUGUGAUCACACCUAACAGACCUCCUUCACAAGCAUCUACCUCACAGCGUUCUUUGGGGUCCUUCUGAUUGUGCUGUCUUCUACAUCUGCCUAGCUUCACGUUACAUAGAUAAAGAAUCCCAUGCUUUUGAACCUAUAAUAGCAUCAUCAUCUAAAAUAAUGUGACUUAGUAUAUCAUAGAAAGACACUGUUAUUAGAGAUCACUGCUGUGGGACGGUCUGUAUGUCAAAUUGCUCUGAUUGGUCAAUAAAUAAAACACUGGUUGGCCAGUGGCCAGGCAGGAAGUAGGUGGGACA